Molecule: ribosomal RNA, 460 nt
Filed under: uncultured bacterium
Lineage: Bacteria
Description: partial 16S ribosomal RNA
Rfam family: Bacterial small subunit ribosomal RNA
Source: RNAcentral
CCUACGGGAGGCAGCAGUGAGGAAUAUUGGUCAAUGGACGAGAGUCUGAACCAGCCAAGUAGCGUGAAGGAUGACUGCCCUAUGGGUUGUAAACUUCUUUUAUAUGGGAAUAAAAUGUUCCACGUGUGGGAUUUUGUAUGUACCAUAUGAAUAAGGAUCGGCUAACUCCGUUCCAGCAGCCGCGGUAAUACGGAGGAUCCGAGCGUUAUCCGGAUUUUUUGGGUUUAAAGGGAGCGUAGGUGGAUUGUUAAGGCAGUUGUGAAAGUUUGCGGCUCAACCGUAAAAUUGCAGUUGAAACUGGCAGUCUUGAGUACAGUAGAGGUGGGCGGAAUUCGUGGUGUAGCGGUGAAAUGCUUAGAUAUCACGAAGAACUCCGAUUGCGAAGGCAGCUCACUGGACUGCAACUGACACUGAGGCUCGAAAGUGUGGGUAUCAAACAGGAUUAGAUACCCGGGUAGUC